This 1372-nucleotide long non-coding RNA is filed under the name Gossypium raimondii (Peruvian cotton). Its description in RNAcentral is "long non-coding RNA (GRAI_LNC005671)". Lineage: Eukaryota; Viridiplantae; Streptophyta; Magnoliopsida; Malvales; Malvaceae. The record is from RNAcentral.
CCUGUAGUUGCUAUUGGAUGCAAUUCAACUCCAUUUCAAUCUAAAGAAUCAUUAUCAUAGGUUAAUAAAUUACCAAAACUAACAACUAAAAACACAAAAACAAGACAUCCAAUUUCAAUAAACACCAUUUUCACUAGCUACCCUUAAUAAGUUACCAAAAUAAUAAUUUAAAAUUCUCCCAAUUGAAACCUGAUCGCAACUUUUUCAUCAUUAAUCUUAAAAUAACCUUACAGUAUAUGAAAAUUUAACCCAUUAAAUUUAAAUUUUUCUUGUUUAACCCCAAAACCUAAAAAAUAAUAUAUAUAUUUAAAUAAGAAAAAAUGAACAUACCCCAUUUGAAGAAAAAAAUAAGCUCUAAAGGAAGAAAGGGUUGUAGCAUAUUUGCUUUCCUAUAUUUCUAUCCUUAUCUUAUUGUUUUCUUUUCUUUUAGGUAAUGAAAAUACCAAACAUGGAAUGGAAGAGAAAGUUGAUCCAAACUUCAGACAAGGAGUUAUAUAACGAAUCAACUAUUAAAAACAGAGAAAUAUAGACGCAGAAAAGAAAUAGCUAAAAGUAAGUGAGCCUUCUUUGUUCCUUUCUAUUAAGCAACAACAAUAAUAAUCAAAGGGGAUUGGAUUGGGGGAGAGAUGAGAAACCUAAAGUCCAAAAAAAAGGUCUAUCCAACACAAGUCAACCCUUGAUUUUCUUUUACUAAAUCUUUCAAGAAAACCGUAGUCACAAUGACUCAUCAAAACAAACCCAAUUUACCAAACAUAAAAAUGCAUCUAACGCAAAUCAAUUGUAAACAAAAACAGUAAUGCACCAAAAUAACAAGUCGAAAACCCUCAUCAUUUGACCAAGCAUGUCAGAUCUAAAUUGCUUAUACAAUAAAUACACAUUUAUAGUUAAAUUCACAUGUUAUAAAUAUGUAAAAUUUGUUACCCCUUAACCCGAACAGAAGAAGUGAACUGGUGGUGACUGGUAAAGACGAUCGAUGAUGGUGGUAGGCUGGUGGUUGAUGAAUGACGAGUUCUCACUUUUCAAACCUCACUGUCGCGACAGUGGAAACAAUUGAAGAGAAAAAAAGGCAGUGACUAGUGAAGAUAGUCGAUGAUGGUGGUGGUCGGUGGGCUGGUGGUCGAUGGGUGUUGAACAGUUGGAGUGGGGAAGGUAUGGUUAGGGAUUUAGAAAUUUGGGGGAGAAAUAUAGUAGAAAUCAAAAAAAUAAGAGAAGGCUUGGAUUAACAAAAUUAACUUUUUAGACAUGUAUUCGGACCAUGCCCAAGAAAAAAAAAGCUUUUUUUGAAGCCUAGUUGGUUUAGAAAAUGGGCCUCAUUUUCUAUCCAAGCUCAUAUUUCGGGACUAUAUUUUUGCCCUAUUUGAGUGGCUCAACC